UAACUACUCCCUCUAUCCGGAAAUACUUGUCAUCAAAAUGAAUAAAAGAUAAUGUAUCUACAACUAAAAAUACAUCUAGAUACACCCCCUUUUGUCCAUUUCGAUGACAAGUAUUUCCGAACGAAGGGAGUAUUAG
Non-coding RNA from Triticum urartu, 136 nucleotides. The record is from Rfam. Lineage: Eukaryota; Viridiplantae; Streptophyta; Magnoliopsida; Poales; Poaceae.